RNAcentral lists this ribosomal RNA (273 nucleotides) under uncultured bacterium. Its description in RNAcentral is "partial 16S ribosomal RNA". It matches the Rfam family "Bacterial small subunit ribosomal RNA", at positions 524 to 796 of the family's 1533-position model. The record is from RNAcentral.
UACGGAGGGUGCAAGCGUUAUCCGGAUUCACUGGGUUUAAAGGGUGCGUAGGAGGGCAGGAAAGUCAGUGGUGAAAUCCUAGGGCUUAACUCUAGAACUGCCGUUGAUACUACUUGUCUUGAAUACCGUGGAGGUGAGCGGAAUAUGUCAUGUAGCGGUGAAAUGCUUAGAUAUGACAUAGAACACCGAUUGCGAAGGCAGCUCACUACACGAAUAUUGACUCUGAGGCACGAAAGCGUGGGGAUCAAACAGGAUUAGAAACCCUCGUAGUCC